RNAcentral lists this unclassified non-coding RNA (223 nucleotides) under plant metagenome. RNAcentral describes it as "partial contains small subunit ribosomal RNA, internal transcribed spacer 1, and 5.8S ribosomal RNA". The record is from RNAcentral.
UUUCCGUAGGUGAACCUGCGGAAGGAUCAUUACAGAGAACUUGCCCUUCGGGGUAGAUUUCCCAACCUCUGCUUACCUUACCAUUGUUGCUUUGGCAGGCCCGCCCUUGUGGCCACUGGCUUCUGCUGGUCAGCGCCUGUCGAGGAUUCAAAACUCUUGUUUAAUUGUCGUCUGAGUACUAUAUAAAUAGUUAAAACUUUCAACAACGGAUCUCUUGGUUCUG